UUUGCCAAUACCGCACUGCCUUGGUCACUGUGGCUUUAUAGUUGCGUCUUGAAUUCAGGUAGCAUCAAUCUUCCAACUUCGUUCUUUUUCAAGACUCAGAACCUUGAGCAAGAAAAGCAACAGUCUGGAUGAUGAGAUUGUAUUGGAGGACCUAAGGAUAUAGACCCAAUGAUUCAACCCUACCUAAUUUGACUGUUGAUAUUUUACAAAGCUCAACAGGAACCAACUCCUACUUCUCCUCCAGUUUCACUCUGUUCCAUUCUCCUGCUGGGCUCCAACCACACUGGACUUGUUCCAGUUCCUUAAACUUGUCUGAUUUUCCUUUCCCCACAGCUUUCACACACGCUGUUUCUUUUGCUUAAAAUAUUCUUCUUCCAGCCUUGCCUUGGCCAACUUCACUCAUCCUUCCGAUUUCAGGCACCCUGCCCAGAGCCUGACAACAGCCAACCAAGAACGAUCUCCUCCCUUCCUUGCUGUGUCCAUCUGGGUGGACUUUUCCCAUUGUCUUAGCAAGGGAGCUGCUCCGAGGAAGUACCAGUCGUGUCAGCCAAGAAGGCCUGGGAGGAGCUGCUUUCCAGAAGCCCAGGUGCGUGAAGGAAGGCUCUUCCCCAGCUGACCAAACAAAAUGGGCGGAGUCAUCCCGAUGGACGCCUAGAGGCUCACGCCCCCUCACAGCAUCCGAAACAUUUACAUUGAAGAGCGAGAUUAAAUCGCCAGACCAGCCCAUAACAUGAAUUUAAAAGGCUGUUUUUUCAUGACAUCUCAGUAAUGCCUUCAGGAUAGAGUGGUAAUGACAACGUGCCUGAAAAGAAGAUGGUACAUUUCUGAGGAAGCUACGUCAUCAAUACCAAAGCCUUUUGGCCUCAGAGGCUUUCUAGAAAGCAAAUGCCUCGCCUUGGAUGGGGGCUGGAAUCCAGUUUGAUCAGCAGUCUGAGCAGUGGGUGGGAAUUGGAAUCCACAUUCUCACAGUCUCACAGCCUUGACAGACAGAAUAUUCUAGAUGUUGCAACUCUGAAGCCACAUCAGGGAUGGAUGGCAUGUGGUCAUUUGUUAUUUACUAAGGCAUGAGUUUACCCCUCAUAUGGAGGGCUGGCCUGACGGUGAUUUUCUAGCAACCUUUUCUGCCCCUAGCACCGUAUUCAAUCAUUCUUCUUUAGCAUAUAUUUGUGGGCCUACUGUCUGCAAAAUGCUCCCCUAGGCCCCAGGGAUGCUGCGUGGGCAUCUCGGUCUGCAGGACACACGUUCCCAUCUUCAUUAUUUGCCAUGAGCCAGCAUCAUUUAUACAACAACCCUUCAGUAAUAAAAAAAAAAGUUGGUGUCUUUGUAGAAAUAGCCCUGGAAAAGAAAUCUGGGUGUUGCCUUAAAAAAAAUUUUUUUUUAUUGCCCCCCCACCCCAUGUUGCUUAAAUAAUGUGUUCACUGUGGAAAAAUUAGAAACUAGAGGUGAGCAGGAAGAAAAUAAUUAGCUCCCUAAAUCCUACCAUACAGAGAUAACCACAGCUAACCUUUGCUUCCCACACACAUGAGCUCUCUUUCUUCUUUUUGUAUAUCUACGGCCUUUUUAAAAGCAUAAUUAUUCUUUGUGUAAUUUCUUGCCCCUCAUCUCCUUCUGUAGAAGGCUAUACUGUCCCAUCAUUCCAUCUUAAUAGGCAUAUUUGUAUAGCUAAUGGCUGCUGACAUUCUCUGGGUCCUACUACCCUGUGUAUUAUAUC
This is a long non-coding RNA of Lutra lutra (Eurasian river otter), 1711 nucleotides long. RefSeq lists it as uncharacterized. NCBI's taxonomy places the organism in Eukaryota, Metazoa, Chordata, Mammalia, Carnivora, Mustelidae. The transcript is spliced from 3 exons. The record is from RefSeq and is a predicted model, not a curated record.